CGGGCUGAUGAUGACUACUGGUGGCGUAUGAGUCUCAAACGAUGACUACGUCUGUACUCUGAGGUCCGA
Microcebus murinus (gray mouse lemur) is the source of this 69-nucleotide small nucleolar RNA. Ensembl annotates it as small nucleolar RNA, C/D box 114-5. Its record names the gene SNORD114-5. The record is from Ensembl. Lineage: Eukaryota; Metazoa; Chordata; Mammalia; Primates; Cheirogaleidae.